GCCGUGGUAGCUCAGUGGUAGAGCACGCGAGUCGGAAAUUGCAAGUCUGAAUAAGGCGGGUUCGAUUUCAGCGCGGGGCG
Molecule: non-coding RNA, 80 nt
Organism: Halocaridina rubra (Hawaiian volcano shrimp)
Lineage: Eukaryota; Metazoa; Arthropoda; Malacostraca; Decapoda; Atyidae
Source: the annotation of a GenBank genome assembly